GGAGGAGGAGCACAGGGUCAGGCACAGACGUCCUCACACCUGACUGGUGGGCAAGGUGUGCUUCAUUAGCAGCUACGGAAAAACACGAUACAGACACAUGUGUACGGAGAGGCAUAGAUAACAGACAGAUUGAUAGAUAGAUACACAUGUGUCCGGAGAGGCAUAGAUAACAGACAGAUUGAUAGAUAGAUACACAUGUGUACGGAGAGGCAUAGAUAACAGACAGAUUGAUAGAUAGAUACACAUGUGUCCGGAGAGGCAUAGAUAACAGACAGAUUGAUAGAUAGAUACACAUGUGUACGGAGAGGUAUAGAUAACAGACAGAUUGAUAGAUAGAUACACAUGUGUCCGGAGAGGUAUAGAUAACAGACAGAUUGAUAGAUAGAUACACAUGUGUCCGGAGAGGCAUAGAUAACAGACAGAUUGAUAGAUAGAUACACAUGUGUCCGGAGAGGCAUAGAUAACAGACAGAUUGAUAGAUAGAUACACAUGUGUACGGAGAGGCAUAGAUAACAGACAGAUUGAUAGAUAGAUACACAUGUGUACGGAGAGGUAUAGAUAACAGACAGAUUGAUAGAUAGAUACACAUGUGUCCGGAGAGGUAUAGAUAACAGACAGAUUGAUAGAUAGAUACACAUGUGUCCGGAGAGGCAUAGAUAACAGACAGAUUGAUAGAUAGAUACACAUGUGUACGGAGAGGCAUAGAUAACAGACAGAUUGAUAGAUAGAUACACAUGUGUCCGGAGAGGCAUAGAUAACAGACAGAUUGAUAGAUAGAUACACAUGUGUCCGGAGAGGCAUAGAUAACAGACAGAUUGAUAGAUAGAUACACAUGUGUCCGGAGAGGCAUAGAUAACAGACAGAUUGAUAGAUAGAUACACAUGUGUCCGGAGAGGUAUAGAUAACAGACAGAUUGAUAGAUAGAUACACAUGUGUCCGGAGAGGUAUAGAUAACAGACAGAUUGAUAGAUAGAUUCACGUGUUUGUGCUCGCAUCUAUGAAAUAUGUCUACAUAGACAAAUAGA
Molecule: long non-coding RNA, 1025 nt
Organism: Eriocheir sinensis (Chinese mitten crab)
Lineage: Eukaryota; Metazoa; Arthropoda; Malacostraca; Decapoda; Varunidae
Exons: 4
Source: RefSeq, a predicted model, not a curated record